UGGGGAAUAUUGCACAAUGGGCGCAAGCCUGAUGCAGCCAUGCCGCGUGUAUGAAGAAGGCCUUCGGGUUGUAUAGCACUUUCAGCGGGGAGGAAGGCGAUAAGGUUAAUAACCUCAUCGAUUGACGUUACCCGCAGAAGAAGCACCGGCUAACUCCGUGCCAGCAGCCGCGGUAAUACGGAGGGUGCAAGCGUUAAUCGGAAUUACUGGGCGUAAAGCGCACGCAGGCGGUCUGUCAAGUCGGAUGUGAAAUCCCCGGGCUCAACCUGGGAACUGCAUUCGAAACUGGCAGGCUAGAGUCUUGUAGAGGGGGGUAGAAUUCCAGGUGUAGCGGUGAAAUGCGUAGAGAUCUGGAGGAAUACCGGUGGCGAAGGCGGCCCCCUGGACAAAGACUGACGCUCAGGUGCGAAAGCGUGGGGAGCAAACAGG
Molecule: ribosomal RNA, 429 nt
Filed under: Chloroflexota bacterium
Lineage: Bacteria; Bacillati; Chloroflexota
Description: Chloroflexi bacterium partial 16S ribosomal RNA
Rfam family: Bacterial small subunit ribosomal RNA
Source: RNAcentral